CAUAUUCUCUAAGGAGGAAAGCAGGGGAUCGCAAGACCUUGUGCUUUUGGAGCGGCCGAUGCCUGAUUAGCUAGUUGGUGGGGUAAAGGCCUACCAAGGCAACGAUCAGUAGUUGGUCUGAGAGGACGACCAGCCACACUGGGACUGAGACACGGCCCAGACUCCUACGGGAGGCAGCAGUGGGGAAUUUUGGACAAUGGCGAAGCCUGAUCCAGCAAUGCCGCGUGAGUGAAGAAGGCCUUCGGGUUGUAAAGCUCUUUCAGUCGAGAAGAAAAGGUUGUGACAAAUAAUCACAACUUAUGACGGUAUCGACAGAAGAAG
This 321-nucleotide ribosomal RNA is filed under the name uncultured beta proteobacterium. Its description in RNAcentral is "bacterial SSU rRNA". It matches the Rfam family "Bacterial small subunit ribosomal RNA", at positions 172 to 490 of the family's 1533-position model. Lineage: Bacteria; Pseudomonadati; Pseudomonadota; Betaproteobacteria. The record is from RNAcentral.